GAAGCCAUUGAUCAGAGACUCCCCAGGCUUGAACAGGAACCCAUAAAUGUGACUGAGGUCAGUGGGUCUCUGCCUUCCCUUAGUAGGAAAUGUCACGGGGCAGGCAGGACCUUGCCUAGAUGCUCUCUUGGCCAGUUUGCUUUCGAAGUCAGAGAUUUGGGGGUCUGUAGUGUGUUUCUGAGUCUGUUUAUGAUAUCUGAAAUCUUUAUCAUGUGGGAGAUUGAAGGCUCCUACUGGGAGUAUCUUCAGUUUGUGGCAGUUUACUAUUUAUUAGAGCCUCCUUUUGCAUAUCAUGCACCGUAUUUGAGUGUUUAACCAGCUCACUGUCUCCACUUAACACGGGAAGUGGCUAAUCUAGCACUGUGACAAACCAAGGAUGACUCCUGCUGGUUGUUUUAAGACAGCCUUCAAGUGGGGCUGGGGAUUUAGCUCAGUGGUAGAGCGCUUGCCUAGGAAGCGCAAGGCCCUGGGUUCGGUCCCCAGCUCCGAAAAAAAAAAAAGAACCAAAAA
RNAcentral lists this long non-coding RNA (510 nucleotides) under Rattus norvegicus (Norway rat). RNAcentral's name for it is "long non-coding RNA NONRATT003257". The stretch from base 420 to 488 matches the Rfam family "tRNA". The record is from RNAcentral. Lineage: Eukaryota; Metazoa; Chordata; Mammalia; Rodentia; Muridae.